This 226-nucleotide long non-coding RNA is filed under the name Durio zibethinus. RNAcentral describes it as "long non-coding RNA (DZIB_LNC001185)". The record is from RNAcentral. Lineage: Eukaryota; Viridiplantae; Streptophyta; Magnoliopsida; Malvales; Malvaceae.
UCAGAAGCACAAUUUGAAUCCAAUUCCCAGCAAUAAACACAAUCCUGCAAACAUUCAACCAAUUACCCACACCCGAAAGCCAGCACACAAAGCCUCAAACAUAGAACCCAUUGGCAACAAAAACCCAAAGUCAAACAGAGAACUCCACAAGCAACCAAUUACCAGACAUAUAGGCAAUAACAGAAGAAAUAAAGGGGAAGAAAGUGCAAUAUAAAGUUUCGACUGC